Molecule: ribosomal RNA, 253 nt
Filed under: uncultured bacterium
Lineage: Bacteria
Description: partial 16S ribosomal RNA
Rfam family: Bacterial small subunit ribosomal RNA
Source: RNAcentral
UACGGAGGGGACUAGCGCUGUUCGGAAUUACUGGGCGUAAAGCGCACGUAGGCGGAUUUGUAAGUCAGGGGUGAAAUCCCGGGGCUCAACCUCGGAACUGCCUUUGAUACUGCAAAUCUCGAGUCCGGAAGAGGUGAGUGGAAUUCCUAGUGUAGAGGUGAAAUUCGUAGAUAUUAGGAAGAACACCAGUGGCGAAGGCGGCUCACUGGUCCGGUACUGACGCUGAGGUGCGAAAGCGUGGGGAGCAAACAGG